AGGUUGCGGUGACCCAUCCCUCAAGCAGGCAGGUCUCCAAGGAUGCAAAGCCAGACUUCAGCACUAGGGAUGACCCGAAGUUAGGUCUGGUUGAUUGGGGGUGCUCACGAUCGCGACCCCCGCACCGCACUGCGCCGCAGCCCGCAGCGCCCCGGGUGCGCGCAGCCCCAGCCCCGCCUCUUCCCUAUGCGCCCCGCCCCUCCCGGCGCGUGCCACCCGCGCACCCGGGGAGCUCGCGAGGAACCCGCGGGGUAGGCGGCCGGUGUCCCGGCGCAGGCGCGCUGGUGUCGCCGCCGCUCCCGCCAGCCGCCCCGCACGCGCCCCCGCCCCGCCUCCGCACGCGCCGCCGCCCCGGGCGCCUGUGAUUGGCGGUCAGCGGGGCCCGCAGGUGGCGGCGGCCGC
Molecule: long non-coding RNA, 402 nt
Filed under: Rattus norvegicus (Norway rat)
Lineage: Eukaryota; Metazoa; Chordata; Mammalia; Rodentia; Muridae
Description: long non-coding RNA NONRATT028176
Source: RNAcentral